RNAcentral lists this RNase P RNA (430 nucleotides) under Bradyrhizobium sp. RNAcentral describes it as "RNase P RNA component class A". It matches the Rfam family "Bacterial RNase P class A". From Rfam's summary of the family: Ribonuclease P (RNase P) is a ubiquitous endoribonuclease, found in archaea, bacteria and eukarya as well as chloroplasts and mitochondria. Lineage: Bacteria; Pseudomonadati; Pseudomonadota; Alphaproteobacteria; Hyphomicrobiales; Nitrobacteraceae. The record is from RNAcentral.
UCAGUCGGCCGGACGGCCGCUCCGGCAGGCGCCGAAAGGCCGCCGGGGAGGAAAGUCCGGGCUCCCUUGACAUGCGGUGCCGGAUAACGUCCGGCGGGGGUGACCCCAGGGAAAGUGCCACAGAGAACGAACCGCCCGCCUUCGCCCUUCGGGGCUUCGGCGAGGUAAGGGUGAAAAGGUGCGGUAAGAGCGCACCGCGGUUCCGGCAACGGAGCCGGCAUGGCAAACCCCACCGGGAGCAAAACCGAAUAGGGACGGCAUAGCGGGCUGUUCGCGAAAGCGAUAACGCCGCGGGGCGAUGUCAGGCCCGCCGUCCGGGUAGGUUGCUCGAGGCCAUUUGCAAACAUGGUCCCAGAGGAAUGGCCGUCACGUAUCGCGCGCGCAAGCGGGCGGUACCCUACAGAACCCGGCUUACAGGUCGGCUGAUGUG